UUACCACGGUGACAGCCACUAACACCUACCGAGAAACCAUUCUCCCACCCUUUGUAAAGUCCCAGAACGUUCAGUAUUGGUGUCUUACUGUUUGCCAGGCCCUUGGGCUUAGUAAGCAGAACUGAUGUAAGCUCAGGCCCGGAUGAAAAACCAAAUUCCCUACCUCUACAGAAAGUCAGUCAACCAUAGAUGUCUCCAAGGAUCUAUAUGAACGAAGUCUCUGCAAGCUGGGUGAUGUACCAGCUGGAUGUGCGGCAGCCAAGAAGACACGUGGAAGAAAAGAAACACGCUUUUCAAAUGUUACAAGAUGAUGUGAAAUUAUAACACAAGAGAGGAGAUACUUAAAUGGGUAAACUGAAUUUUAAAGUGCCGUUAUCAUCUGAAAAAUGCACCCUAAAAUACUAGCCAGUAAGUGAAAAGCUAUUCGGAAUUUGCUUCCAAAAUCAUCCACACCUGGAGGCAGAAUAAACAAACCAGUGAAACAUGGUAAUUAUAUAUCCUAUACAAUGGGUACUUGGGGAUUUAGUACACCAUCUCACUUCUACAUAAAUUUGAAAUUUCUGAAGUUUUUAAAAUAAAAUUUCAAUUUUAUAUAACGUGAUAAAAAAA
Non-coding RNA from Rattus norvegicus (Norway rat), 609 nucleotides. NCBI's taxonomy places the organism in Eukaryota, Metazoa, Chordata, Mammalia, Rodentia, Muridae. The record is from RefSeq and is a predicted model, not a curated record.